Long non-coding RNA from Planococcus citri (citrus mealybug), 707 nucleotides. RefSeq lists it as uncharacterized. The record is from RefSeq and is a predicted model, not a curated record. NCBI's taxonomy places the organism in Eukaryota, Metazoa, Arthropoda, Insecta, Hemiptera, Pseudococcidae. The transcript has 3 exons.
CUGGCCACAAACGUACAUAUGUAUGAAUGGGUUGAAUACGAGAGUAAGAUAGCAUUCGUUUCUUUCGCUUAUUUCUUUUCUGUCGAUUUUUUUCAUCUAUAAUUAACCAUGAUUUAACAUCAGUGCGCAGCGCUAGUAGCGAUAUUAAACCAGUCAAACUGAAAAAGGUUCACAUGUAAUUUAAAGAACCUCGUGAAAUGUGCUGUCUUCUGAUGUUUUUUUGUUAAUCAAAUUUUUAACGGAAUCAAAGUUCAUUAAAAAACUGGUAGGAUCAUCGGAAAUUUUCUUCGAAACAACCUGUACGAUCAAAUCAAGAUGGAAGCUAAUUUGACCGACUUCACGAUCAUAGUGAAUAACUUGCAGAGUCUAAUAGAGAAUUCUACAGAUGAAAACGAAGUGGUACAGUUCUUACUCAAGACCAUAAAAAUCUUGGCAAAAACUACUUUCGCAUUAUACAGAACACAAAUGAAAGAAAAUCGAGAUUUGAAAAUACGGAUCGACGAGAUGGAAUCAAAAAUUGAGAAAUUGCUGUCGGAAAAUCCGAAAAAAUUAUAAACCAUAAAACUUAGCUUGACGAGUAUGGAAUUUGUCAUUUCAAUCCAAGAUUUUUUUCUGCGUUAUCACCUACUAUUUAUACUUGAAUUCAUCGUGCCAUAGAAUGUAUCCUAUUUUAAUAAAAGAAUAAACAGCGUUUAUGCAUCUUGAAA